CUGAAUAUGGCGCAGCAGUUCGUGCGGCAGUUUCCCGAACUGGCUCGUUCUGGCCAGGGGGAUGAUUGGUGCUAUGCCGGUUGGCUAGC
Molecule: transfer RNA, 89 nt
Filed under: Pseudomonas aeruginosa
Lineage: Bacteria; Pseudomonadati; Pseudomonadota; Gammaproteobacteria; Pseudomonadales; Pseudomonadaceae
Description: tRNA-Gly(ccc)
Source: RNAcentral